CGCCCGGGGCGCGCCCCGGGCGGGGCGGGGGCACGGGGGGAACGCGAAGAACCUUACCAGGUCUUGACAUCCCUCUGACCGCUCUAGAGAUAGAGUUCUCCUUCGGGACAGAGGUGACAGGUGGUGCAUGGUUGUCGUCAGCUCGUGUCGUGAGAUGUUGGGUUAAGUCCCGCAACGAGCGCAACCCCUAUUGUUAGUUGCCAUCAUUCAGUUGGGCACUCUAGCGAGACUGCCGGUAAUAAACCGGAGGAAGGUGGGGAUGACGUCAAAUCAUCAUGCCCCUUAUGACCUGGGCUACACACGUGCUACAAUGGCUGGUACAACGAGUCGCAAGUCGGUGACGGCAAGCUAAUCUCUUAAAGCCAGUCUCAGUUCGGAUUGUAGGCUGCAACUCGCCUACAUGAAGUCGGAAUCGCUAGUAAUCGCGGAUCAGCACGCCGCGGUGAAUACGUUCCCGGGCCUUGUACACACCG
Molecule: ribosomal RNA, 473 nt
Filed under: uncultured Streptococcus sp.
Lineage: Bacteria; Bacillati; Bacillota; Bacilli; Lactobacillales; Streptococcaceae
Description: bacterial SSU rRNA
Rfam family: Bacterial small subunit ribosomal RNA
Source: RNAcentral